Molecule: long non-coding RNA, 666 nt
Organism: Daphnia carinata
Lineage: Eukaryota; Metazoa; Arthropoda; Branchiopoda; Diplostraca; Daphniidae
Exons: 2
Source: RefSeq, a predicted model, not a curated record
AGCGUAUAGUGGAGCAGAGUCGUCGUUCGUGUGGCGGUGCGCGACCGUAGACGAAGGGGGGAUCCCGAGAUAAGUCGAUCCUGAUUGGUGCCAAGACAUGUAAUACAACCGGCCAGAAAGAAGAAGGGAAAUCUUUAUAGUCGCUCAAGAUGGCGCCCGUGUACGGAGGAGAAGCACAGACAUAUAUAUGUGUUUUCUUUUUGACCGCUUUGUUUUUUUUUUCCUUUCUUUCUGCUGUCCUAUUUCUUUUGUUCUUUUUCUCCUGUCUUUGCAACUUGCACAGGAUAUAUCUAUGGCCCAGUCUGUUGUUUCCUGUUCCCUUCAUUCCAUUACUGUUGGCUCCGCCCCAGCACAGGAGCAAUACGCCAAAGCAGAGCGGCAUAACAGAUACGCAACGAAUGGAUAUAAAAGAAAAAAAAACCUGUCCGAUUGAAUGAGGAAAACGCGUCUCACCAGCAGCCAGCCUACUAUAUAAGGAACAACACACACACACACACACACACACACACACACCAAAACUAUAUACAAUCCGGCAGCUGAUUGCAAUUCCAGUCGUGUCCCGCUCACGGCAUUCUCUCUCCAGGCUAUAUGUACUAUAAAGCAUACAUGUAUCUAGCAGGGGAUAUAUACCUAUGCCAGUCCCUGAUGGUCUUGCCGGAUCGUUAA